RNAcentral lists this ribosomal RNA (1844 nucleotides) under Anopheles funestus (African malaria mosquito). Its description in RNAcentral is "eukaryotic large subunit ribosomal RNA". It matches the Rfam family "Eukaryotic large subunit ribosomal RNA", at positions 1890 to 3399 of the family's 3401-position model. The record is from RNAcentral. Lineage: Eukaryota; Metazoa; Arthropoda; Insecta; Diptera; Culicidae.
AUAGAUCAAUGUAGGUAAGGGAAGUCGGCAAACUGGAUCCGUAACUUCGGGAAAAGGAUUGGCUCUGAAGGCUGAGGGCGACCAGCCGGGUACUGCACGGAUACGGGCGUGUGCCACUCGUCGUGGAGAGCGCUUGGAGCUGCAUGCUCGCGGUUGCACAGCAAACAGCCAGUUCAGAACUGGCACGGUGAAGGGAAUCCGACUGUCUAAUUAAAACAAAGCAUUGUGAUGGCCUGGCUGGGUGUUGACACAAUGUGAUUUCUGCCAGUGCUCUGAAUGUCAACGUGAAGAAAUUCAAGCAAGCGCGGUAAACGGCGGGAGUAACUAUGACUCUCUUAAGGUAGCCAAAUGCCUCGUCAUCUAAUUAGUGACGCGCAUGAAUGGAUUAACGAGAUUCCCUCUGUCCCUAUCUACUAUCUAGCGAAACCACAGCCAAGGGAACGGGCUUGGAAGCACUAGCGGGGAAAGAAGACCCUGUUGAGCUUGACUCUAGUUUGGCAUUGUAAGGCGAUAUAGGAGGUGCAGCAUAGGUGGGAGAGUCAGCCCUUUACCGGGUUGGCUCGCCUCUGAGAUACCACAUUCUUACUGUUGCCUUACUUACAUGAUCGGGUGGAACAAGCGCGGGCCCCAGGUCCGGGUCGUACCGCCCACUCCCGCGCCGGGGUGUAAGCGUGUCGGCUCGCCCUGAAGCUGCCCAAUGCGCGUGGUUUCCUAGCUCCGCGUUCAGCAUGUCGCCUGGGUGGUGCCCACCGGGUGCGUGUGUCGUCGUAGCAUCGACGCGCGUCGUCACCGGGCGCGACCGCCGCGCGUGGCCCGCAAAGGGUUCAAGCGUGCGCACGUCGGUCCGUCCCGCGUGUUCUGUCGCCGUUCGACCGUUUGCGCCGAUCCGCCUUCCGCUUCUCCGGUUUCUGGUGCCGCUUGGCUCGAAAGACAUCUGAAUAAACCUCUCGGUCCGACGUCAUGGACAGGCCAGGUGGGAGUUUGACUGUGGGCGGUUACCAUCUCCAAAACGAUAACGGAGGUGUCCCAAAGGUCAGCUCAGAGUGCGACAGGAAACCACCGCUUUGAGCAUAAGGACAAAAGCUGGUUUGAUCCUAACGUCUAGUAGCAACGCCCGGGACAGCCGAAAGCUUGGCCUACGAUCCUUUGGUAACGAGUUUUAGCAAGAGGUUUCAGAAAAUGUUACCGACAGGGAUAACUUGGCUUGUGCCCCGCCCAAGCGUUCAUAGCGAUCUCGUGGUUUUUGAUCCUUCGAUGUCGCUCUUCCUAUCAUUGGUAAAGCAAAAUUUACCAAGCGUAGGAUUGUUCACCCUUUCAAGGAACGUGAGCUGGGUUUAGACCGUCGUGAGACAGGUUAGUUUUACCCUACUGGUGUGCAUUGUUUGUCGCUAUCUUAACGGAAUUCCUGUGCAGUACGAGAGGAACCACAGGUACGGACCACUGGCUCAAUACUAGUUCGAACGGACUAUGGUAUGACGCUACGUCCGCUGGAUUAUGCCUGAACGCCUCUAAGGUCGUAUCCAAUCCGAGCUGAUAGCGCUUCUUAUACCCAUUAGGUGGUCGUAAGCUAGCGGGCCUAACAACCCUCCGAGAACCGUCCGUGCUGUCCAUUGGCACACUGGCGUCUCAUCCCCGCUUACUACUAGGCCGCAAAGGGCGGGUUCGCGCUGCACGUGUUAGUACCAUACAUGUUGGGAACACCGGUGGACGAGCUUGCCGACUGUGGAUAUCACUAGUUUCGACACCUACGACCGCCCGCAAACGACGGGACUACAGGCUGGGAGCUUCAAGUUGUAGAGAUGCGUUCGCAUCGAUCCUCUCAGGCGACCCAUGCUUGGUGGUUA